CAGUAGCCGCGGUAAUACGGAGGGUGCAAGCGUUAAUCGGAAUUACUGGGCGUAAAGCGCACGCAGGCGGUCUGUCAAGUCGGAUGUGAAAUCCCCGGGCUCAACCUGGGAACUGCAUUCGAAACUGGCAGGCUAGAGUCUUGUAGAGGGGGGUAGAAUUCCAGGUGUAGCGGUGAAAUGCGUAGAGAUCUGGAGGAAUACCGGUGGCGAAGGCGGCCCCCUGGACAAAGACUGACGCUCAGGUGCGAAAGCGUGGGGAGCAAACAGGAUUAGAUACCCGCGUAGUCCCUGUCUCUUAUAA
Molecule: ribosomal RNA, 301 nt
Filed under: uncultured bacterium
Lineage: Bacteria
Description: partial 16S ribosomal RNA
Rfam family: Bacterial small subunit ribosomal RNA
Source: RNAcentral